AUUGAACGCUGGCGGCAGGCUUAACACAUGCAAGUCGAACGAUGAUUAUCUAGCUUGCUAGAUAUGAUUAGUGGCGGACGGGUGAGUAACAUUUAGGAAUCUGCCUAGUAGUGGGGGAUAGCUCGGGGAAACUCGAAUUAAUACCGCAUACGACCUACGGGUGAAAGGGGGCGCAAGCUCUUGCUAUUAGAUGAGCCUAAAUCAGAUUAGCUAGUUGGUGGGGUAAAGGCCCACCAAGGCGACGAUCUGUAACUGGUCUGAGAGGAUGAUCAGUCACACCGGAACUGAGACACGGUCCGGACUCCUACGGGAGGCAGCAGUGGGGAAUAUUGGACAAUGGGGGCAACCCUGAUCCAGCCAUGCCGCGUGUGUGAAGAAGGCCUUUUGGUUGUAAAGCACUUUAAGCAGGGAGGAGAGGCUAAUGGUUAAUACCCAUUAGAUUAGACGUUACCUGCAGAAUAAGCACCGGCUAACUCUGUGCCAGCAGCCGCGGUAAUACAGAGGGUGCGAGCGUUAAUCGGAAUUACUGGGCGUAAAGCGAGUGUAGGUGGCUCAUUAAGUCACAUGUGAAAUCCCCGGGCUUAACCUGGGAACUGCAUGUGAUACUGGUGGUGCUAGAAUAUGUGAGAGGGAAGUAGAAUUCCAGGUGUAGCGGUGAAAUGCGUAGAGAUCUGGAGGAAUACCGAUGGCGAAGGCAGCUUCCUGGCAUAAUAUUGACACUGAGAUUCGAAAGCGUGGGUAGCAAACAGGAUUAGAUACCCUGGUAGUCCACGCCGUAAACGAUGUCUACUAGCCGUUGGGGUCCUUGAGACUUUAGUGGCGCAGUUAACGCGAUAAGUAGACCGCCUGGGGAGUACGGCCGCAAGGUUAAAACUCAAAUGAAUUGACGGGGGCCCGCACAAGCGGUGGAGCAUGUGGUUUGAUUCGAUGCAACGCGAAGAACCUUACCUGGUCUUGACAUAGUGAGAAUCCUGCAGAGAUGCGGGAGUGCCUUCGGGAAUUCACAUACAGGUGCUGCAUGGCUGUCGUCAGCUCGUGUCGUGAGAUGUUGGGUUAAGUCCCGCAACGAGCGCAACCCUUUUCCUUAUUUGCCAGCGGGUUAAGCCGGGAACUUUAAGGAUACUGCCAGUGACAAACUGGAGGAAGGCGGGGACGACGUCAAGUCAUCAUGGCCCUUACGACCAGGGCUACACACGUGCUACAAUGGUAGGUACAGAGGGUUGCUACACAGCGAUGUGAUGCUAAUCUCAAAAAGCCUAUCGUAGUCCGGAUUGGAGUCUGCAACUCGACUCCAUGAAGUCGGAAUCGCUAGUAAUCGCAGAUCAGAAUGCUGCGGUGAAUACGUUCCCGGGCCU
Molecule: ribosomal RNA, 1355 nt
Filed under: uncultured bacterium
Lineage: Bacteria
Description: bacterial SSU rRNA
Rfam family: Bacterial small subunit ribosomal RNA
Source: RNAcentral